GAGCGGCGAACGGGUGAGUAACGCGUAGGAAUGUACCUAGUAGAAGGGGAUAGCCCGAGGAAACUCGGAUUAAUACCGUAUACCUCCUUCGGGAGAAAGAAGGCCUCUCUUUGAAGCUUUCGCUACUAGAUCAGCCUGCGUAAGAUUAGCUUGUUGGUGAGGUAAUGGCUCACCAAGGCUACGAUCUUUAGCUGGUCUGAGAGGACGAUCAGCCACAUUGGGACUGAGACACGGCCCAGACUCCUACGGGAGGCAGCAGUGGGGAAUAUUGGACAAUGGGCGCAAGCCUGAUCCAGCCAUACCGCGUGUGUGAAGAAGGCCUUCGGGUUGUAAAGCACUUUAAGCAGGGAGAAAAAAAUAUAGGUUAAUACCCUAUGUUCUUGAUGUUACCUGCAGAAUAAGCACCGGCUAAUUC
This 415-nucleotide ribosomal RNA is filed under the name uncultured Pseudomonadota bacterium. RNAcentral describes it as "bacterial SSU rRNA". It matches the Rfam family "Bacterial small subunit ribosomal RNA", at positions 93 to 503 of the family's 1533-position model. The record is from RNAcentral. Lineage: Bacteria; Pseudomonadati; Pseudomonadota.